This 864-nucleotide long non-coding RNA is filed under the name Homo sapiens (human). RNAcentral describes it as "non-protein coding lnc-SARAF-2:2". The record is from RNAcentral. Lineage: Eukaryota; Metazoa; Chordata; Mammalia; Primates; Hominidae.
CUCCGCGGGUGUGCAGAUCGCCGCCGGCCGAGGCUUGCCGCCGCCGCCCCGACUGGGGGAAUGAGCAGGCGCCAGGUCUUGAAUUCCUGUCAGGGCCGGUCUGGGGGCUCCCUGCUGAAGCCCCUGUCCCUGAUCCCGCAACCUCCCGGUCUCUUUCGCCCAGGCUGGAGUGUGAUCACGGCUACUGCAGCCUCGAUCUCCAGGGCUCAAGUGAUUCUCUCACGUCGGCCUCGCAGUAACUGGGACCACAGACAUGAGCCACCAUGCCUGGCUUUUUUUUGUUUUGUUUUGUUUUGUUUUUUGUAGAGACAGGGCGGGGUGUGAGACUCUCAUCUUGUUGCCCAAGCUGGUCUCCUGAGCUCAAGGAUCUGCCCUCCUCGGCCUCCCAAAGCGCUGGGAUUACAGCUUGAUACCCUACCUUGUUUUAACCUGAUUGACUCGCUCUUAGCUGAGAGAGCGGGACAGACUCCAUUUUGGUUUCUUCGCUUGCAGCACCUUGUCCCCCUCCCUUAAGGACAUAACUGGUGCAGACUGACACCAAGCACAUCCAGGAAUGUGCUUACUGAUAAGAUACUGAGGCAAGCUGUACCAGCAGCUCCUGGGAACGCGCUCGGUUGAUGGUACCCAAAGCCCCUGCGUUUAUCUCUUUGUGAUAAUUUAAGCCCCAUGCACCUGGAACUGUUUAUUUUCCUGUAACUGUUUCUAUAACCAUUUAUCUUUUAACUCUUUGCCUGUUCUGCUUCUGUAAAAAUUGCUUCAGCUAGACUACCCCUUCCCUAUUUAGACCAAGGUAUAAAAAGAAAUCUAGCCCCUUCUUCAGGGCCGAGAGAAUUUUGAGCUGUAGUCGUCUCUCGGUCGCCGGCA